This is a small nucleolar RNA of Ornithorhynchus anatinus (platypus), 141 nucleotides long. NCBI's taxonomy places the organism in Eukaryota, Metazoa, Chordata, Mammalia, Monotremata, Ornithorhynchidae. The record is from RefSeq and is a predicted model, not a curated record.
CACUUCCCCUCUUCGUUGCAGCUGGAGAGUUUCCAGUACUCUACCAGUCUCGGCUAUGGGAAGGAAAGUCAAGCAGAGGCAUACCCAUUCCAUUCCUAGCUUGGCCAGUGACUAGCAAGUGGAAGGCAAUCUGCUACAAGU